GCUUGCUACCUAACCUAGCGGCGGACGGGUGAGUAAUGCUUAGGAAUCUGCCAUUUAGUGGGGGACAACAUUCCGAAAGGAAUGCUAAUACCGCAUACGUCCUACGGGAGAAAGCAGGGGAUCUUCGGACCUUGCGCUAAAUGAUGAGCCUAAGUCGGAUUAGCUAGUUGGUGGGGUAAAGGCCUACCAAGGCGACGAUCUGUAGCGGGUCUGAGAGGAUGAUCCGCCACACUGGGACUGAGACACGGCCCAGACUCCUACGGGAGGCAGCAGUGGGGAAUAUUGGACAAUGGGCGGAAGCCUGAUCCAGCCAUGCCGCGUGUGUGAAGAAGGCCUUAUGGUUGUAAAGCACUUUAAGCGAGGAGGAGGCUACUUAGAUUAAUACUCUAGGAUAGUGGACGUUACUCGCAGAAUAAGCACCGGCUAACUCUGUGCCAGCAGCCGCGGUAAUACAGAGGGUGCGAGCGUUAAUCGGAUUUACUGGGCGUAAAGCGUGCGUAGGCGGCUUUUUAAGUCGGAUGUGAAAUCCCCGAGCUUAACUUGGGAAUUGCAUUCGAUACUGGGAAGCUAGAGUAUGGGAGAGGAUGGUAGAAUUCCAGGUGUAGCGGUGAAAUGCGUAGAGAUCUGGAGGAAUACCGAUGGCGAAGGCAGCCAUCUGGCCUAAUACUGACGCUGAGGUACGAAAGCAUGGGGAGCAAACAGGAUUAGAUACCCUGGUAGUCCAUGCCGUAAACGAUGUCUACUAGCCGUUGGGGCCUUUGAGGCUUUAGUGGCGCAGCUAACGCGAUAAGUAGACCGCC
Molecule: ribosomal RNA, 800 nt
Filed under: Acinetobacter sp.
Lineage: Bacteria; Pseudomonadati; Pseudomonadota; Gammaproteobacteria; Moraxellales; Moraxellaceae
Description: bacterial SSU rRNA
Rfam family: Bacterial small subunit ribosomal RNA
Source: RNAcentral